GAGGAAAGCGGGCGGCGUGCUUAACACAUGCAAGUCGAACGGAAAGGCUCCUGCUUGCAGGGGUACUCGAGUGGCGAACGGGUGAGUAACACGUGGGUGAUCUGCCCUGCACUUCGGGAUAAGCCUGGGAAACUGGGUCUAAUACCGGAUAGGACCACAUUUUGGAUGGUGUGGUGGAAAGUUUUUCGGUGUGGGAUGAGCUCGCGGCCUAUCAGCUUGUUGGUGGGGUAAUGGCCUACCAAGGCGUCGACGGGUAGCCGGCCUGAGAGGGUGUACGGCCACAUUGGGACUGAGAUACGGCCCAGACUCCUACGGGAGGCAGCAGUGGGGAAUAUUGCACAAUGGGCGCAAGCCUGAUGCAGCGACGCCGCGUGGGGGAUGACGGCCUUCGGGUUGUAAACUCCUUUCGCUAGGGACGAAGCGUUUUUGUGACGGUACCUGGAGAAGAAGCACCGGCUAACUACGUG
RNAcentral lists this ribosomal RNA (467 nucleotides) under uncultured bacterium. Its description in RNAcentral is "partial 16S ribosomal RNA". It matches the Rfam family "Bacterial small subunit ribosomal RNA", at positions 31 to 507 of the family's 1533-position model. The record is from RNAcentral.